This 322-nucleotide long non-coding RNA is filed under the name Musa acuminata (dwarf banana). RNAcentral's name for it is "long non-coding RNA (MACU_LNC011271)". Lineage: Eukaryota; Viridiplantae; Streptophyta; Magnoliopsida; Zingiberales; Musaceae. The record is from RNAcentral.
UUGAGUCUCUAAUAAUCUCUGUCAGGAGCUGAGCAUUGUUUGUGUGUUGACACUCAAAGAUUCUGCUACAUCUUUCCUUCCACAUCCACCAAAUAGCGCAUCUGAAUAUAACCUUUGUCAAUUGUGUAAGAGGCCCUUUUCUUGAAAAACAUUGCAUGAGGUCAGCUAAUUCUUGAUGCAAGUUUGGUUGCGGCAUUCUAUUAAGUUCGAAUCGCUGGAGAAUCUCCUUCCAUAUCCAUUUAUUAUAGUCACAAGCAAAAUAGAGAUGGUCAAUAGUUUCUUCUUGUUGCAUGCAAAGGGAGCAUCGGUUAACAUGAUGGAU